CAGAGAAGCACCUGCAGCUCCUGCCAGCCGCCCCGCCUCCACCCCACGUUCCCCUCCUGCCCCUGGGUCCCCGCGGAGUCGGUCAUCUUCCGGCCACACUCAGUUGAUGCUGAAGGGUCCUCCACAGGCCACUCUGAAGAACACUGACGAAGCACGGAUGGGCGCGAUGUGUGGACCUCAGGAUAAAGGGCCUCCGUGGAGCUCCACCUGGAAACUGGCUGCUCCUGCCCACGGUGCUGACUCAUCCUCUGGAGGGAGAAGAGAACAAAAGCUUAUCGGAGAAAAUGUGAUCCCUGCUUUAGAAUGGAACCCUGCUCCCAGCUCCAAUGCCAGCUCUCACUGGGGCUGUACGACGCUUUCACGCCAGUUCCCCGUUGAGCCAACAACCGUGAGGCAGUCAGUGAGCCUGAUAAGUGGGUUUUAUCCCCAUUUUACAACAGAAGAAACCAAGGCUCAGAGACUCCACCCAAAAGUGGCAGCCAUUUGUCAGGCACCAACCAUGGCGAGAGACCAGGACCAAGACCUGGGCCACCAUUUCUAUUCCACAGGCAGACCCCUGUCACCUGCAAAGCACCAGAUUUCAAACUGGACUCAAUUCCACCCCUACGCUUACUGCUUUAGAAUCUAUUUUUUAAAUGCAAUUUUAGGGGUUUUGGUAAUCGCCUUAAAUGGAGAAAAACAUUAUGCAGCAUUCACUUGAUAUUAGCCAAACUACAAGAAGUAUCAAUUGAUUAAAAAAAAAAAAUUUAUGUACCUUGCCUUAGAAGUGAUUUCUGGAUAAAAUUUUCUAGAGCUUAUAAUUCCAUCCACGAUGUGAUCUAAUAUUGCCUAUUUCUAAAGCAUUUUACAUAACUUUGCUGUACACCUGAAACUAACAUAACAUUGUAA
Molecule: long non-coding RNA, 888 nt
Organism: Globicephala melas (long-finned pilot whale)
Lineage: Eukaryota; Metazoa; Chordata; Mammalia; Artiodactyla; Delphinidae
Source: RefSeq, a predicted model, not a curated record